RNAcentral lists this ribosomal RNA (489 nucleotides) under uncultured bacterium. Its description in RNAcentral is "partial 16S ribosomal RNA". It matches the Rfam family "Bacterial small subunit ribosomal RNA", at positions 29 to 506 of the family's 1533-position model. The record is from RNAcentral.
AGUGAACGCUGGCGGUAGGCCUAACACAUGCAAGUCGAACGGCAGCACAGGAGAGCUUGCUCUCUGGGUGGCGAGUGGCGGACGGGUGAGGAAUACAUCGGAAUCUACCUUUUCGUGGGGGAUAACGUAGGGAAACUUACGCUAAUACCGCAUACGACCUACGGGUGAAAGUGGGGGACCGCAAGGCCUCACGCGAUUAGAUGAGCCGAUGUCCGAUUAGCUAGUUGGCGGGGUAAUGGCCCACCAAGGCGACGAUCGGUAGCUGGUCUGAGAGGAUGAUCAGCCACACUGGAACUGAGACACGGUCCAGACGCCGACGGGAGGCAGCAGUGGGGAAUAUUGGACAAUGGGCGCAAGCCUGAUCCAGCCAGACCGCGUGGGUGAAGAAGGCCUUCGGGUUGUAAAGCCCUUUUGUUGGGAAAGAAAUCCUGUCGAUUAAUACUCGGUGGGGAGGACGGUACCCAAAGAAUAAGCACCGGCUAACUGCGU